This 6094-nucleotide long non-coding RNA is filed under the name Sus scrofa (pig). RNAcentral describes it as "lncRNA (ENSSSCG00040050580.1)". Lineage: Eukaryota; Metazoa; Chordata; Mammalia; Artiodactyla; Suidae. The record is from RNAcentral.
UUUUUUUUUUUUCUGCGAGAAUUUUUCUUCAUGUAAGCAUGAAGUGAGUAAAGUUAAAAAAUGUAUUUAUGUUUUAUUCUGCAUAUGAGUCAAUAUAUGUAAUCUUCUUAAGAUUCUGAAAAGUAUAGACGAGUUCAAAAAAAUCCCAAACUGUCAGCAUUUUGGUUGGUUCUGCCUGUAAUCCUUGGUUCAUGCAUAUGAUUUUGAGGGAAGGGACUCUUUGGUUGAGAAAUGUAUUCCCAGUUCUCAUCGCAGUGCUCUAAACAAAGGAAAGGCUCAUGAAAUGCGCUUGCUGAGUGAAUAGAUACAUACACCAAAUGGGGUCAGAUCGUAAGUAUACACCUUUCUUUUUACCUGUAACAGUAAAUUUAAGAACGUUCUUAAGCAGUCCCCUAAAAUAUGAUCUUCGAAAGAUGCAUUAUAAUUCAAUUUGGGGGGGAUGACUUGUAAUUUAUCUAAUCAGUACCCUGGGACUUUUGGUUGUUCCCACUUUUCCUAAAUAGUAUUUUUGGGGUAUUAGUGUCAUUCUCAAUUUUUCAUAGUUCAUAAAAGAGGAAAAACCUGGAAAGAAGUAGAUUCUAAAUGAACACUGUAAAAUCACAUUUAUCCUGUUAUCUAUUUAAUUCAAACCACACACAUAGAAAUGUACUUAUGAAUUCUCUCUACAGAUAGGGAAGAUCAAAUCAAUUAUUACUCCAAGGUUGGAGGAGACACAUAAGAGAAGCUAGGGCAAAUCAAUACUACCAAUCUGUACUCUUCAGAAGUGCAUUAUAAAUUGUAAAGGGUUAUUUGAAUGUAUAUUAUUAUUUCUUUAAGUCUGUAAAUUUCCAUUUAAAAUAACACCUACUUCCUAAAUGAACUGCCAGGAAUUUAAAGAAUAUUAAUGAAUCUAUUUUGGUUUGCCAGAACAUUAGUGUUCCACUUGUUACAGGUUGAAAUUAAUAGCAAAAGCAAAAACAAAAACAAACUCCAUUCAGAUGAAAGAUGCAUGCAAUUAAUUUUCCUUUUUCUUAAAACACUGAAAGGAACACAGACAAUCUGAAGUUCUCCAGGAAUAAUCUUUCAAAUGCCAAAGAGAAAUUCUCAUUUUGGAAGAGGAAAGCAACCAACAGGAAAGGAACUGUGAAAGGAAUAAAGGUCAGUGAUGAUUCUGGACCAGAGAUACUAUUUUGGGUUCUAUUUACUUUCCCAUUAGGCUGCUUUAGGUUUGUGUGUUCUUAAAAGAUGUCUGAAAGGCAGCCCGUAAUGCAGUUCUCUAUCGUUUCCUUCCCUCUUUCUGCUGAAAAUGCUCAUUAAGUCUUUCAGUUAUAGAAGGUGGAAGACAUUUGUUACUGGAGAGAGUGAAGCCCUACGGCAGGGCAGCCAACAAUGGAAUACAGCAGAAGUGUCUCUGGCAAAACUGAAACCAAGAUUCAUUAAACCAAAGAAAUGUCAGAACUGGAGGGAUUUUAAAGAUCACCCUGGCUCACUGGUUUACAAUCUGAACUGCUGAAAUAGUAGAGGACUUUAAAAGAGCCAUGGGUAGAAAGUGGGAGUCUUAAAAGCAUUUUAAACAUUGCAAAAAGCUCGCAAAGUUGUACAGUUACUCACGAGAAAUGAACACUGAUUCCUUGCUUUUGCUAAGGAUUACAUGAAUUUAGUUAGCACUAGUUACACUAAUCAGACCAAAAAUAUUUAUUUAUGUUGUUUUUAAUAAAUAAAAAUGAGAAAUUCUUAUUUAAGAGGUGAAAUUUCACAGGUAUAACCUUUUCAAACUAAUCAGUGGUGAAAACUUGGAAACAAAUGGUCUAUCAAUAAACAUGAUAGUCUAGUGACAUGAUGUGCCUGACUCUGGACUAAGUGAAUUAGUGUGAAGCCUUGGACUGGACAGCGAGUUUGCUGAUUCCCAGUAGGUGACAGGAAGGAUAAGAAACCCCUUCCAGUUCUGCUGCUUCUUUCAAAUCUCUUAGAGGCUGGUGCCACCCCACUAUGUACAGCCUGCGUGAGGGUCGACAUAUAGCCUGUGAGCACCUCUUACUGUAUUUGGGAACCCUGCACGGCCCUCUAUUUUCAAUAAAAUGUCACUGAAUAUUUUAUACCAAUUUUAAAUAUUCAUAACAUCAUAAGGUAUUACCUUCUUUCUAGACUUAUUUGCAUUAUAUGAAAGUCUAAGGCCUUGAACCACAAAACUGAAGCUCUUCCAAGAGAGGUUCAACCUCUCGCUAGGUGUUUUUUGGCAGAAAGGGAUUUCUGGUAAAGAGCCAAUGAUUAAGGGAAGCAUGAAGUGGAUUUUAACUCUCCAAAAGAUCACAGAUCUACUUAGGGUGGACCUGGGGAAAUCACGUUAUGAAUGUCUGCAGGGCUGGCUUCCUUGCAGGAGAAGUAACUGCAUUGCGCCAUGUGGUUUAACCCCUACUACCAUGAUACUGCAGGUGUGGUCUGGUUCUGAAAGAUCAGUUUCAUCACUGUCUUAUAAUAAACAAAUGUUUUGUCAUAAAGACUGAAGGAUACGGAGUUCCCGUCGUGGUGCAGUGGUUAACGAAUCCGACUAGGAACCAUGAGGUUGCGGGUUCGAUUCGUUAACACUGCGCCACGACGGGAACUCCCCAGAGCUGUGUUUCUUAAUCAGAAAAAAAUAUUUUCAUCCUUUGCAGUGUACACUGCAAUGUUCAAACUCGUCUUCCUGCCACCUCGACAAGCUAUCCCCUAUUUAAAAAUAAAAAUCAGGCCUACUGGCACAUAAUGAUUGCUAUUUAUCUUGAGUUUGUUUCUCUGUAUUUUUCACAAUAUAAAUGAGAUAUUGGGAAAAUGGGAUUUGAAAUAAAAAACUAUCCAAGCUAACCAUCUUGGGAGAGGAUUCUUUGGUCAAUUGGUCCAAUGAUACUCACUUCAUUCCAUUCCCAUUUUUCUAACAGCUUCACUAGAUUGGGCCUGAAACGAUCCAAACUGUGUAGUUUCCCUUUGUCACCACAGCACCAGGGCUUGCUUGGGAUGGUAAGGAAGUAGUAGGAUAAAUAAAUUUCAAAAAAUUUUUUAAGAGAAUAACAAUGAAGAUUAAUUUUUCUCAAUCAAGUUCAGUAAUUGCAUCUAAUUAUUUAUGAGGUGUCAGAAUCUGGGUGUCAGAUUCUGAGUGUUAAACAUACAUUAUUUCACUUAAAUCACUCCCCCAUGGCUCCAUUUUUUCUGAGAUGGGCGCUAUCACCACUCCCAGUUUUCAAGAGAGGCUAACCAACUUGCCUCAGGUCAAACAACUAGUUAGGGAUGCAGACAGGGGCUGAAUCCAUGCAUCCUGAGCAAAAGCCCCAGGGUUUGAUGCUAUGAAAGCUCCCUCCCAGGUGAUGAUAAUAUGAAGCCAAGGCUAAAAACCAGACUGGUUCAGAGUCUAGUUCAAGGUGCUUCAGCUCAAAUGGUUUCAAGUCCAGGAAGAUAAAAUAAAUGAAGUAAGCAAAUAUAGACCCCAUACUUUAAAAAAUUAUAAGUCUUUAAAUAAUUAUAAGUUUUAAUCCAUCGGCCUGGCUGCUGUAUGGAAGAUAUUCCAUGUGUGGAAAUUGUGUGGAAAGCAGGAAGGCCAGUUGGGGAGAUACGGCUAUAGUCAAGGUACCAUGGCCAGCAUGGCAGCAGAGGAAGUGGUAUAAGAAGUAGUCAAAUUCUGAAUGAAUUUUAAAGAGCAAUCCUUGAUGAUUUUUCAAGUGGAUUGGAUGCAGGCUGCGAAUCAAAGAGAGGAAUCAAGAUGACCAGACCGAAAGUUUGGGCAGUUAGUGCUUAGUGUGUAGUGCUCUGGUGUAGGUAAAAUACUCUCCCAGCAAAUUCCCAGUUGGGCACCACUGUGACACUUGAUUUACUUAUGACUAGAGCAAUACCUUCCCUGGAGCACUGAAGGUGAAAUACUGGAGCACACAUCUUCCAAAUGACUGUGAUUCAUUAAAACACAUUCUUCUUGACAUGAAACACUGAAUACAAGACAUCUCUUUUAUUUCAUUAACUGCAACUAGAAAAGAAAAAGUUAAAAGCAGCUAAUUUUCUCAGUGGUAUUUGUAUCAGAAAGGAAUUAAUUUUUAAAGUUUUCUCCUGUAGUAAAUUAUUAAGGCUUCUAAUAAUCUUUGAUUAGGCAGAGAUAUCUGAAACACUUUAAUCAUUAAUAAUAAAAUCAAAUUAAAAAAAAGGACCUCAAAUAAGAGUCAAAAUGUAGGUAACCAGUGGAAAAUUCUCCUGCUCAAUUUGGUCCAUUUUUCAGAGCUUACUUCCCACCAUUUUGGAUCAAGUUUCUACUUUUUAAAAUAAAUCCUCUUAGUGACAAAAAAAAUUCUGUUGUUUCAUGUGCUUAAUACAAAAAUUCACCUUGUUACUCUUAAAAUUGAGAUUAAUAACAGGUUUGUAUCUACUAACAUAACUUUUGAUACUUAAGUACAAUGUAACCUCUUGCAUCUUCAUAUGCAAGUUUUGUUCAAAACCUGUAGUAGUCUACGUUGGGGAUUUUGAGUUGUUUUAGUGCUCUUCUAUUUAGCUCUUGUCUUCUUGCCCUAUUUCUAAAGGUUGUGUCCCAUAUGAAUAAUAAAUGAAUGAAAAUGUGUGAGCUGACUUAAAUGCUAUUUUGUACUUUGUAUUCUUUAUCUUAACCUCCAUUUAAACUCUGACCAUUGUACAGGAAUAUCUGUCAAUGAUUCCAAAAUUUAAGGGCAAGUUUAUCAUUCUAGAACCUCAUCUAAUGGGGAAUAAGCAUACAGGAUUUCUAUCCAACCCAAUAAAACCAUAACAAUGCUUACUUACUGCAAACUAUGUUUUCAUCUGACUCCACAACAACUAUAAUUUUUAAAAUGUGUUACCUUUUCUAUUAACUGUUAUGAUAACUUGGGACAAAAAGUUGCUUAAAAUGGAAAAAAUAAAAAUUUUAAAAAUAAAAAAAAUAAAAGAUUUAAGAGGUAGCUAAAUUCAGCAAGAGAAAUUCUAGAAGAACUUUGCUCUCUAAUGGAGGGCAAAAAUCUGGUGAGCAAUAGAGUUAUAUGUAAAGACAAAUCAGCUUUUAUCUGUGAGUUCAUAUUUCAUAAAAGGAAAAAAUCAUCCUAAAGGUACAGGGGAAAAAAAAUAAUGUAAAUACCAGAGCUUCAGGGUUGUAUAUGAAAAGGUGCUUGUUUACAAACUACAAGAUUUGAUAGGAUAUUUUAUUAAUAGAUAAAGCUUUCAGUAAAAAAUAUGUUCCAAAUCUUCAAAGUACUGUGAGUAGGUGAAAUAAAAGAAACUUUUCACAGAAGUUGAUAAUGUCUUUCUUCGGCGGCUUAUGGACAAGGUUGUCAAGUAAAUUCCAACAUACUACCCUGCAAAGUGAACUCAAAGCAGAGAAUAAAUGCAAACAUGCGCUCAAGACACACGCUCACAGGAAUACCAGCAUGACUUUGUGGCCUAGAUUUCAAGGGGAAAAAAAUAGACAUUCAUCAGGAUGCUGCUAUGGUCUAAAAAUAGCAGAGGAGUCUCUGAACUAUCCAUGUUCCACCAAUCAGCACAUCUGAGGGAGAACUCCCAUACGCACUGAUGCAUUACCCUUAUCAUUGUAAUUGAUGCCUAACACGUCUCUACCCAUCAAAUGCCAUCCUGAAUGGAAGGGGCAUUAAUCUCCAUGCAAGAUGAUCAUCACUUUGAAACCCUAAGUGAUCUCAAAUUUCCUAACAGCUUAAAUCACAAUACUGCAGGGAAAAAUAAUACAUAGGACUACUGAUUCAUGUCCUGACUGCUGAAGGAUAUAAUCUCACAUACCUGAGCACACUGGUGACUUCUGAUGCUAUUUCCAAGUACCAGAGAGAAGAGAGGAAAGAUCGCUCUGCCCAGAUUUUGAGCCGCCUAGUUCUCCUUUUCCUGGAGUGGAUGAAGGGAUUUGACAUGAUCUGGAGACCCUGAGGGGCAAACACAGGAAGAGAUUUUUUUUUAUUUCCCCUAAAAUUACGUUCUAGAACUUUAGUGUGACUCAUCAGAGCCUUCACAGAGCCUGAAUUUCCUAAUGAAAAGCGUCACGGGAGGUGUUUUUCCUUCUCACAUUAAUGUAAUUCUUUUCACAAUGGGCUUUUCAAAGCAUAAAAGAAUAUAUCAAGACAGCUAUGUCAUGGCAGAGUCUUGACUUGUCUGA